This 231-nucleotide ribosomal RNA is filed under the name uncultured bacterium. Its description in RNAcentral is "partial 16S ribosomal RNA". It matches the Rfam family "Bacterial small subunit ribosomal RNA", at positions 118 to 347 of the family's 1533-position model. The record is from RNAcentral.
UGAGCAAUCUGCCCUUCUCAUCGGAAUAAGCGUUGGAAACGACGUCUAAUGCCGAAUACGACCUCCUUUCGCAUGAUCGGAGGUGGAAAGCUCCGGCGGAGAAGGAUGAGCUCGCGGCCUAUCAGCUAGUUGGUGGGGUGAUGGCCUACCAAGGCGACGACGGGUAGCCGGCCUGAGAGGGUGACCGGCCACACUGGGACUGAGACACGGCCCAGACUCCUACGGGAGCAG